ACUGGGCGUAAAGGGCUCGUAGGUGGUUUGUCGCGUCGUCUGUGAAAUUCCGGGGCUUAACUCCGGGCGUGCAGGCGAUACGGGCAUAACUUGAGUACUGUAGGGGUAACUGGAAUUCCUGGUGUAGCGGUGAAAUGCGCAGAUAUCAGGAGGAACACCGAUGGCGAAGGCAGGUUACUGGGCAGUUACUGACGCUGAGGAGCGAAAGCAUGGGUAGCGAACAGGAUUAGAUACCCUGGUAGUCCAUGCCGUAAACGGUGGGCGCUAGGUGUGAGGGUCUUUUCACGACUUUCGUGCCGUAGCUAACGCAUUAAGCGCCCCGCCUGGGGAGUACGGCCGCAAGGCUAAAACUCAAAGGAAUUGACGGGGGCCCGCACAAGCGGCGGAGCAUGUGGAUUAAUUCGAUGCAACGCGAAGAACCUUACCUGGGCUUGACAUACACCAGAUCGCUGCAGAGAUGUAGUUUCCCUUUGUGGCUGGUGUACAGGUGGUGCAUGGUUGUCGUCAGCUCGUGUCGUGAGAUGUUGGGUUAAGUCCCGCAACGAGCGCAACCCUUGUCUUAUGUUGCCGGCAUUUGGUUGGGGACUCAUGAGAGACUGCCGGGGUCAACUCGGAGGAAGGUGGGGAUGACGUCAAAUCAUCAUGCCCCUUAUGUCCAGGGCUUCACACAUGCUACAAUGGUCGGUACAACGCGCAGCGACACUGUGAGGUGGAGCGAAUCGCUGAAAGCCGGCCUUAGUUCGGAUUGGGGUCUGCAACUCGACCCCAUGAAGUCGGAGUCGCUAGUAAUCGCAGAUCAGCAAUGCUGCGGUGAAUA
This 817-nucleotide ribosomal RNA is filed under the name uncultured bacterium. RNAcentral describes it as "bacterial SSU rRNA". It matches the Rfam family "Bacterial small subunit ribosomal RNA", at positions 553 to 1368 of the family's 1533-position model. The record is from RNAcentral.